Long non-coding RNA from Mus musculus (house mouse), 929 nucleotides. RefSeq annotates it as predicted gene, 53992. The transcript has 3 exons. The record is from RefSeq and is a predicted model, not a curated record. Lineage: Eukaryota; Metazoa; Chordata; Mammalia; Rodentia; Muridae.
GGCCUGGAUCUUAGGAGCUGUUCUCCUAGACCCGCCCACUAAACCAUACUUAGGGUCACGUGGUUCCCCCAAACACUUUGUGAGCAAGCGCUUUCUCAACCUUAAUUUUUAAUAUUUUUUUCCUGUUCUGGUCAAGGUCCUGCUCUUGCCGUUAUCCCUGCCCCGGGGAUUCCAUUCCCUCCCGCUCAGUCAUCAGCUUCCUGCCACACAGCUCCACCUGCGGACCUGCUCUGCACAACCUCCCUGCUGCUUGCUGACAGACUAGGAAAAACUGGUUCCAUAGGAAGCUGAACUCUGACAUCUGAGAGCUUUCUUCACUCUAUGAAUUCUCUGAGGAAUUCCAAGACUACGUUUAAGGGAGGAUGUUGUCCUUGGAGAGGCUCUACCCAGCAGCUAAAGCAGACAGAUAUAGACACCUAUAGUGAAACAGUGAUGGAGCUGGGGGUCUCUUAUGGAAGAAUAAGAAGAAAGAUUGGGGACCCUGAAGGGGACAAGAUCUCCACAAGAAGACCAACAGAGUCAAGUAAUCUGUACUCUUGAGGUUCUCAGAAACUGAACCAUCAACCAAAGAACAUACAGGGGCUGGACCUAGACUUCCCAGCAAAUAUGUAGGUGAUGUACAGCUUGGACUUCAUAUGGGUCCUAUACAACUGGAACAGAGUCUAUCCCAAAAGCUUUUGCCUGAAUGAGGGAUAUAUUCUUCUAGCUGGGUCGUCUUGGUUGGCCUUAGUAGGAGAGGAAGCAUCUAGUCUCACAGAGAUUUGAAGUGCCAGGGUGGAAAGAUACAUAGAGGGAAGCCUACCUGCUCAGAGAAGAUAAGGGGGUGAAGGAAGGAUUGUGCUUAUGUAUUGGGAAGGGGCAGGAUGUGACAGAGAAGGCCCAGUGAGCAAGAUGUAAGGUAAGUAAAAAAAAAAAAAAAAAAAAAAAAA